Molecule: non-coding RNA, 682 nt
Organism: Thamnophis sirtalis
Lineage: Eukaryota; Metazoa; Chordata; Lepidosauria; Squamata; Natricidae
Source: RefSeq, a predicted model, not a curated record
CUGUGAACGUCACUUCCAGAAGGUCCUCAACAAAAGCUUGUUCACAGGCCUGCGUUCCAUCACCCACUUUGGACGACCACCUUUUGUGCCCUUUUUCUGCUCCUUGCAAGAGGUCCAUCCUGAGGUACGGAAAAUUGGUGUUUUCAGCUGUGGCCCACCGGGCAUGACAAAGAAUGUGGAGAAAGCAUGCCAAAAAAUCAACAAGCGGGAUCAAACUCAUUUUAUCCAUCACUAUGAGAAUUUUUAGUCAUUCUCUUCCGAAGACUCGAUUGUGUUUCGCGGGUAUAUAAGUAGAGGUUCACCAUUGGCUGCGUUCCUCUCUUUCUCUCGAAAGGGAAGGAGAAAGAAACAGCCUUAUUUUCAACAGGGACUUGGACGAAAUAUUUUAGAUGUUCAGAAAGCCAUACUUUUUGUCCUGUCCAGAACUUCAAUUGAGGUCUCACAGUUGACAAAGAUAAUCAAGGGCCCAUCCUUGGUCAGCCCCCACAGGUCUCACAUUUGCACCUCCUGUAAGAAAAGUCUGGACAACUAGAAAACAGAGUGAUAUGAUAUCAUUGAGACUAAGGCAGCCCUUUCGUUACAAGUGCAAACUUGUUCAGAUUUAACAGGUAACUAAACCUCCUAGAUUAUAGCUUUGUAACACUCCCUGUCAAUUAUUUAUUCAACAAUCCGUAAUUCACUC